UACGGAGGGGGCUAGCGUUGUUCGGAAUUACUGGGCGUAAAGCGCACGUAGGCGGCUUUGUAAGUUAGAGGUGAAAGCCCGGGGCUCAACUCCGGAAUUGCCUUUAAUACUGCCAAUCUAGAGUCCGGAAGAGGUAAGUGGAACUCCUAGUGUAGAGGUGGAAUUCGUAGAUAUUAGGAAGAACACCAGUGGCGAAGGCGGCUUACUGGUCCGGUACUGACGCUGAGGUGCGAAAGCGUGGGGGAGCAAACAGG
Molecule: ribosomal RNA, 254 nt
Filed under: uncultured bacterium
Lineage: Bacteria
Description: partial 16S ribosomal RNA
Rfam family: Bacterial small subunit ribosomal RNA
Source: RNAcentral